Molecule: long non-coding RNA, 2087 nt
Organism: Xenia sp. Carnegie-2017
Lineage: Eukaryota; Metazoa; Cnidaria; Anthozoa; Malacalcyonacea; Xeniidae
Exons: 6
Source: RefSeq, a predicted model, not a curated record
GAAUAUUUCUGCGGGCUAGCUGCACGAGAUAUUCCGGAUUAACUCAUAUGAAAUACAACCAUCUUAGCGGGAUGCUCACUCGAGAUUUCUUGAUAAAUAAUCAAUUAUAUUUCACGGCUUCUCAAGUUGCGCACUGAAGCCUCAACUGCUCAUUCCUAAGCUGAAAAAUGCCAAUGCUCGUUUUAUCCAAAACCGUGCUAGGAAACGACGAGUAGCUGAACAAAUAGUCGGAUAAGAGGUCAAUUUAUGAAGGCGUUAAGAACUCAAUUGGAUAACCACUCCCCUUGUGAUGUUAUCAAACGAGAUAUUGAGAGAGCGACAGAUCAAACGUGUCUAGUGUGAUAACUCUUGUUUCCUGCAGGCCAUUACUUCAUGAUAGCAUAAAAACUUUACCUAGUACGAUCACUACAAUCACACAGAGUAGAACAUGUUUUCUGCCCGGAGUGAGAAACAUUUAAGAAGUGCGGACAUAAUACGAUGAUUCAAUGCAGGGGGUUCGCACCAUAGUACAAAUAAUAUAAUCUUCCUCAGAGUUUGGAUAGAAAUUUAAUUUGUCCGGCCUCCUACUAUUUUGGAGGCGGUGAUUUAUACAGUUUGAUGUUUUCUACAUGAUGGCAAACAUACGAUCGGGAAGAGUUGGAAAAUAUGAUAUCAAGCAUUAUUUCAAGAUAUGAAUCGAAGCUUGCUGUGAGUAUAUUCAAAAUGCUUGCUAGUCAUGGAUUGUAGGAUAUCGAUCAUGAAGUGAUCACAGUUGUAGCUACAGUUGUUCACAAUUGCCCCACAACAAACAACGCUUCACGUAUUCUACAUAACAAAGUGUGAUGGGCAAUACACAACAAGAUAAACAUUGUUUCCCAGACAUAGACAAUAUUUAAAAACAAAGCCAAGGAGCAGAGCUUGAAAACGGGAUGACAAUGAUAAUGCAAGAAAGUAGAAAAGCACAUUUGUUCUUCCAGCAAGAUAUGCUCUUUCUCAGAAUACAUUCAUGAAAAAGACGUUGAGGUAGAAAUUCAUUCAAACUUCUUAUCACCGCACGUGCCAUUUUCCUAUAGGCAAGUUUGAUGCAAAUACGUUUUAGAGACGCUUAGCUAAUACUAUGAAGAGCUGCCCUCUAAUUUUUAAGUGCUCUAUCACAUGAUCAAGAAAGAGUUGUGUGCAGAUCAACUGUGUCUAUCCACCCUUUCUUGGUAGAUGCUUUUGGUAGUUAUCUUCCAACUGAUGAGAAUGAUCAUUCAUCAAAUGAACACAUGACAUGGAUGAAAGAGAAAAUAAAGAGAAGAAGAAGAGUCAUGCUUUGAUGUCAAAGAAAAUGGAACUAGCCAGUUGAAGAGAGAACACAAUGGCCAAUAUGCUGAAGAAUUUGCAGCUGAAAGCAGAUGAAAGAAGAACUUAUCUCCAACAACAAAACAGACAAUUGUUGCUAGAAAUGGAAUCAAGGCUUCAAAGUCGUUCAAACUGACGAGAGACGCUGAAAACGUUGAUGAUGCUGAGGAAGAAGUUUUUCCAACUGAUGAUCUAAUAAAAAGACUUAACUCUGCUGUAUCAGAAACAAAUACAAUGCAAGAAAUGUUAUCCCUGAAAGGAAUAAACCCAAAGCACCAUUUCCUAUCUUUGGCAUAUCGAUGGAGGAAUUAAGCAAAACAAUUUUCAUUGCAGGUGAAAUCAACAUUUUUUUGAAAGUUUCAGAAAUUAUCAAGCAGCACAAGCUCAAGCCUUUUUUACAGUUGUAACAUAGAAAUUCCUAAAGACAUUUUCUUCAAAGAAACACGCUGAAGUGCUUUACUAUAUGAAAGUCUCAUAAAAAUGUUUUGUCCCUGAUAAAUGAACUUAAUCACUUGAACUGAAAUUAAACAUUUUAAACAAGAAAUUUGCUGUUUUCAACUGCAUUUUAUAGCAUGCAGUUUGGCUUUCCCCUUAAGAACAACUUUAGAGUUGCAGUUUCAGUGUCUUGUUAAAUAUACAACGUGUAAGAGUGACUUUACACCUGCUUCGUGCGAGUUUUACAAUGUCAUAGUGUGACAGUGCUAUCUUUUGUUGUACAUUGAGUACACAUCAGAGAAAUAUUAAAACAGUUGCUGGUUAAUUAA